GCCUUCGUGGUGUAACAGUAAAACCCUCGGCUGGUAUUCGAGAGGUCUAGGGUUCGAGUCCAGGUGAAGGCA
RNAcentral lists this transfer RNA (72 nucleotides) under Stegodyphus mimosarum. It matches the Rfam family "tRNA". From Rfam's summary of the family: Transfer RNA (tRNA) molecules are approximately 80 nucleotides in length. Their secondary structure includes four short double-helical elements and three loops (D, anti-codon, and T loops). Further hydrogen bonds mediate the characteristic L-shaped molecular structure. tRNAs have two regions of fundamental functional importance: the anti-codon, which is responsible for specific mRNA codon recognition, and the 3' end, to which the tRNAs corresponding amino acid is attached (by aminoacyl-tRNA synthetases). tRNAs cope with the degeneracy of the genetic code in two manners: having more than one tRNA (with a specific anti-codon) for a particular amino acid; and 'wobble' base-pairing, i.e. permitting non-standard base-pairing at the 3rd anti-codon position. Lineage: Eukaryota; Metazoa; Arthropoda; Arachnida; Araneae; Eresidae. The record is from Rfam by way of RNAcentral.